RNAcentral lists this ribosomal RNA (541 nucleotides) under uncultured archaeon. RNAcentral's name for it is "bacterial SSU rRNA". It matches the Rfam family "Archaeal small subunit ribosomal RNA", at positions 25 to 568 of the family's 1478-position model. The record is from RNAcentral.
UACUGCUAUCAGUGUUCGAUUAAGCCAUGCGAGUUAAAUGUUCUUCGUGAACAUGGCGUACUGCUCAGUAACACGUGGAUAACCUGCCCUAAGGUCCGGCAUAACCCCGGGAAACUGGGGAUAAUACCGGAUAAACCAUAGAUACUGGAAUGUUCUGUGGUUAAAAGUUCCGGCGCCUUAGGAUGGAUCUGCGGCCUAUCAGGUAGUAGUGGGUGUAAAGUACCUACUAGCCGACGACGGGUACGGGUUGUGAGAGCAAGAGCCCGGAGAUGGAUUCUGAGACAUGAAUCCAGGCCCUACGGGGCGCAGCAGGCGCGAAAUCUUUACAAUGCGGGAAACCGCGAUAAGGGGACACCGAGUGCCAGCAUACAAUGCUGGCUGUCCACAUGUGUAAAUAGCAUGUGAUAGCAAGGGCCGGGCAAGACCGGUGCCAGCCGCCGCGGUAACACCGGCGGCCCGAGUGGUAAUCACUAUUAUUGGGUCUAAAGGGUCCGUAGCCGGUUUGAUCAGUCUUCCGGGAAAUCUGACAGCUCAACUGUUA